GACGGAGGGGGCUAGCGUUGUUCGGAAUUACUGGGCGUAAAGCGCACGUAGGCGGCUUUGUAAGUUAGAGGUGAAAGCCCGGGGCUCAACUCCGGAAUUGCCUUUAAGACUGCAUCGCUAGAAUUGUGGAGAGGUAAGUGGAAUUCCGAGUGUAGAGGUGAAAUUCGUAGAUAUUCGGAAGAACACCAGUGGCGAAGGCGACUUACUGGACACAUAUUGACGCUGAGGUGCGAAAGCGUGGGGAGCGAACAGG
RNAcentral lists this ribosomal RNA (253 nucleotides) under uncultured bacterium. RNAcentral describes it as "partial 16S ribosomal RNA". It matches the Rfam family "Bacterial small subunit ribosomal RNA", at positions 524 to 776 of the family's 1533-position model. The record is from RNAcentral.